Molecule: long non-coding RNA, 1152 nt
Filed under: Vulpes vulpes (red fox)
Lineage: Eukaryota; Metazoa; Chordata; Mammalia; Carnivora; Canidae
Description: lncRNA (ENSVVUG00000018395.1)
Source: RNAcentral
CUCACACACGAGCCCUGUGCUGCACUUCACGCACGGCAGACCCGCGGCGUUCAAGCCCCGCGUUGUGCAUAUGCCGGGACGGCGACUGCCUCUCGGGUCAGGCACCUGGCCAGACCCCGUCCGGCCUGCCUGGAGAGGGCUGUAAUGCAUAAUAUGUCGACCCCCCAAGAGAUCUGGGUAGCGGGGUUUUAGAGCUGGGCUCUCUCCCGUUGGAACGUGAGCGAAUGGGUUCGAGGGUUCGCCCCGUCAGGUGGGAAGAGCCGAGCCGCACGUCCGGCAGGACGCAAAAUGGAGGCGAGGCCUUCGCAGGCGGCUCCGGGCUGAGGCGUCGCAGCAAACGGCUUGAGGGGCUGAAGACGUUCCCUAAAGAACAGUGGGCAUCUGAGCAGAUGAAUAUUCCAGAAUUUGGUCAGUUAUUUAAAACAAAAGAUAAAAAUAAAAAAACACUGUAUUAUAGUGAAAAUGUUUAUCAGAUGAAGAGCUCAGCUUUAACAACACGCCUUGCCAAAAAGCUUUGCAAAUCGUUCCUCACUUGGGAGCAUGUGAGAAAGGGCUGUAAUAAGAAUAGCUGAGAUUUGCUGGAGCCAAAGCUUACGGAAAGAAGAAUCUGCAGGUUUAAAAAGUUACUUCCUUCUAAGAUGCUACAAGCAAUUCCACUGGCAGAUCCCCAUUCAUGUACCAUAUAAUUGUUUCCUGAUUUGGGAUACCAAAAUGAUAAAAAACAUAUGAGGUUUGAGUAUAGAGUAAUGAGGCACCAAUCUUACAAACAGACCCAAACUUACAUUUUCAAAUCAAUCUUUUCAUUCAGAGGCAUCACCUCCAGAGUCUAUACCCAUUCCAUUUGUAUGGCCAUUCUUCUCUUUAAAAUUACUCUCUUGAUGGACAUCCUGUUUACAAAUCUGUAAUGAGUCCCAAUUAUCAUAUAUUGAGAGAAUUUGUAUUAUCAUUCAGGGACAGUAUUGGUGAACAGAUAGGUGACCUAGCUUGUUUUAGGUAAAGAAGAGAAAGAAAAAGAAGAGAAAGGUUAUAGGAGCCUGGGUGAUAUAAUCAUGUGGCCAGUCUUCUUGUGUGAAUCAUGAACAUAUUCAGAAGAUUAUUCUGAAAGAUGAAUUUCAAAAUAAAUUUUGAACAAAGAGUAGUUUUGGUGAACUG